CUACGGGGGGCUGCAGGUGCGAAACCUUUACACUGUACGAAAGUACGAUAAGGGAAUCCCAAGUGCUCAUGCUUUGCAUGGGCUUUUGCCAAGAGUAAAUAUCUUGGCGAAUAAGUGGUGGGCAAGACGGGUGCCAGCCGCCGCGGUAACACCCGCGCCACAAGUGGGGACCUCGUUUAUUGGGCCUAAAGCGUCCGUAGCUGGUUUGGUAAAUCUUCUGUGAAAUCGUUGGGCUUAACUUAACGGCGUGCAGGAGACACUACCAGACUUGGAACCGGGAGGAGUUAGGAGUAUUCUGGGGGGAGCGGUAAAAUGCUAUAAUCCUCGGAAGACUACCUGUGGCGAAGGCGCCUAACCAGAACGGAUUCGACAGUGAGGGACGAAAGCUAGGGGAGCGAACCGGAUUAGAUACCCGGGUAGUC
RNAcentral lists this ribosomal RNA (422 nucleotides) under uncultured archaeon. Its description in RNAcentral is "partial 16S ribosomal RNA". It matches the Rfam family "Archaeal small subunit ribosomal RNA", at positions 323 to 746 of the family's 1478-position model. The record is from RNAcentral.